RNAcentral lists this ribosomal RNA (253 nucleotides) under uncultured bacterium. RNAcentral's name for it is "partial 16S ribosomal RNA". It matches the Rfam family "Bacterial small subunit ribosomal RNA", at positions 524 to 776 of the family's 1533-position model. The record is from RNAcentral.
UACGUAGGGUGCGAGCGUUAAUCGGAAUUACUGGGCGUAAAGCGUGCGCAGGCGGUUCGUUGUGUCCGUCGUGAAAGCCCCGGGCUUAACCUGGGAACUGCGAUGGAAACUAGCGAGCUGGAGUGUGGCAGAGGGGGGUGGAAUUCCGCGUGUAGCAGUGAAAUGCGUAGAGAUGCGGAGGAACACCGAUGGCGAAGGCAGCCCCCUGGGCUAAUACUGACGCUCAGGCACGAAAGCGUGGGGAGCAAACAGG